This 228-nucleotide unclassified non-coding RNA is filed under the name Hevea brasiliensis (rubber tree). Lineage: Eukaryota; Viridiplantae; Streptophyta; Magnoliopsida; Malpighiales; Euphorbiaceae. The record is from RNAcentral.
AUACAGUUGCCUCUCUAACAAAGAGAUGAGAUCUUGUAACUACUUUCACAUAAGAAACAGUUCAUGUCGUCUACAGCAGGUCACUCUUUGAGACAGUUUAAAUCCUCAUCAACAGAGUUCUCAGUAUAAAUUCAAUGUCAGGUCACUUUAGCACCAUGCUGGCUCAAGCGAAAGCUCAACCUUUAAGCGUGUAAUCAUGAGCAUCUUAAUCUAAUCCUUGUUUACAUG